RNAcentral lists this ribosomal RNA (254 nucleotides) under uncultured bacterium. Its description in RNAcentral is "partial 16S ribosomal RNA". It matches the Rfam family "Bacterial small subunit ribosomal RNA", at positions 524 to 776 of the family's 1533-position model. The record is from RNAcentral.
UACGUAGGGUGCGAGCGUUGUCCGGAAUUAUUGGGCGUAAAGAGCUCGUAGGCGGUGUGUCGCGUCGGUCGUGAAAACUUGGGGCUUAACUCUGAGCUUGCGGUCGAUACGUGCAUCACUUGAGUUCGGCAGGGGAGACUGGAAUUCCUGGUGUAGCGGUGAAAUGCGCAGAUAUCGGGAGGAACACCGGUGGCGAAGGCGGGUCUCUGGGCCGAUACUGACGCUGAGGAGCGAAAGCGUGGGGAGCAAACAGG